GCUGAUCUAGGCGGCCUGGGAGGAUGUAGGCGGCUCCUAGGCGGCCUGGGAGGAUCUAGGUGGCCUGGGCGGGUCGUGUCCAUAGUUAUAAUCAACUUAGGCAUCCAUAGUUUUCCAAAGAUUUACAAGCAGCAAAACAGAGAAAAGACGCGAAUCAUGGAGAGUUACCAAUCCUUCAAUCUGAACAACUCUGAGAGGGGAAGAAACCUCUUCUGUAGCUGCCACCUGAAGAAAGGAUCUUGCCACCGCUGUACAAUCAACAAAACAAAACCAAAUUUUCACAAAGAAGAAAAACAAACGCAUUCAAAUUUACAGAUAAAAAUACAGAUAGAGAAUUGUACGAACUGGUUGCCACGUUGUAAUUUCACGGAGAGAGCAAAGAAGAGGAGAGACAGAGCAAUAGUAUAAGAUGGGAAGCUUUGUCUCUCACGGGUGCGGAGGAACCUCUGUGUAUGGUGAAUGUGAAGAUGAUUGCUAAACCCUAGUUGUCGAAGGACUGGAAAAUUGGGCCUUGCUCACCCAUGCCUUUCUGCUUUAUUGAUUUCUUUCUAGUAUUAGAAGCCUAAUGUUACUGUCUAAUAAAGUCACUUAGAAAAUCCUUGCAUCUUCUGCUCUGCAACUACAUGCCUAUAAUUUUUUUUAUUUGUUUAAAUAUUUUGACUGUACAAGUGGAAUAGCACUGUAGGGGUGGACGCUGCUUUAGACUAUGUGAAUGAGUUUGAUAUUGAGGAGGAGGUAAUAGUACGGGCCAAUGAAAUCUUCUUCAACAGAUUCAAAGAAAAUUUUGGUUGAAAUUUUGUACACCUUAUUUUGGAGGCUUGUAGUGUAGAUAUGCAUAAUCCUUAUGGCUUUGGUGAUGUCAAAAGAAGCAUACAAAAUUGUUUAUUCCAAUUCCGGAAUGAAAGGGAAGACACCUUCAACUAGUUUUAGCCUUUUAAUUAAUUAGUUUUUUUCUUACACAGAAUCCAAUAAACUAUUUUAAUCCAAUUCGUGCGUAUUGUUUAUGCAAUUGAGAUUGGCAGGUAACUUGAUUUACCAUGUUUUCCUGUCUCUUUUGCAUUUAUAACCUUUUUAAUUAUUAUGUUUUAAUUUUUUGCUGAAAGAUGAGUAUAUAGGUACUGUUGAUGGCUAUAUAGGUAAUGUGAUCCCAAAUUGUUCUCUUGAGAAAAUACUCAACAGUAAUAGCUUAUUAUGUUAAUGGGAAAGCUGUUUCAAAUAGAUUGUUUGAACCUUUGAUUGUUGCUAAAAUUGUUGAUGGUUCCAAUUAGGCAGAAACACAAUAGUCCAAUCUGACAGGAGUUUUAUGGUUUGAUUGCAUCUCCUGUGUUAUUCUCAUAAAUUUCAAUUUCUAGUGAAUUUCUUCUGAGAUAGUAUUUUGACUGAUUUAUUAAAAGGAAAACUUGGAGAGGGAGUUCAUCAGUCCAAUAGUGGGCUGCAAAAAGGAAAACAGAAGUCAUUGUCAUUUAAGGUAAGGACAGAUAACACUUUUCCUACAAAUUCCUUUAGUUUUGCUUUACUUGUGUUACCCCAUAUGGUCCGUCUGGCUAUGGCAGGAAUUGAUGACCAUGUAUGCCGUUAUUUAUUUGCAGAUAUAUAAUGAAGCUCAAACUGACUGCUAUGCGAGUGACAAUGAAAAGAUUGCGGUAUGGGGUCCUUUCACCCUAACUUUUUCACAGAGUUUUCACUUUACAGAUGACUCUCUGAUACAGUUUCUGUCAAAUUAUUGUAAGUGCAUUACUUACCGAAUACAUGUCCUUCACGUGGAGGGGCAUUUAGGUCCAAUCAUUGACAAAAUAAAAGAAGAGAAACAAACACGAC
RNAcentral lists this long non-coding RNA (1818 nucleotides) under Prunus persica (peach). RNAcentral's name for it is "long non-coding RNA (PPER_LNC007567)". The record is from RNAcentral. Lineage: Eukaryota; Viridiplantae; Streptophyta; Magnoliopsida; Rosales; Rosaceae.